CCUACGGGGGGCAGCAGUGGGGAAUAUUGGACAAUGGGGGGAACCCUGAUCCAGCCAUGCCGCGUGUGUGAAGAAGGCCCUCGGGUUGUAAAGCACUUUCAGUGAGGAAGAACGCCUGGUGGUUAAUACCCAUCAGGAAAGACAUCACUCACAGAAGAAGCACCGUCUAACUCCGUGCCAGCAGCCGCGGUAAUACGGAGGGUGCGAGCGUUAAUCGGAAUUACUGGGCGUAAAGCGCGCGUAGGUGGCUUGAUAAGCCGGUUGUGAAAGCCCCGGGCUCAACCUGGGAACGGCAUCCGGAACUGUCAAGCUAGAGUGCAGGAGAGGAAGGUAGAAUUCCCGGUGUAGCGGUGAAAUGCGUAGAGAUCGGGAGGAAUACCAGUGGCGAAGGCGGCCUUCGGGACUGACACUGACACUGAGGUGCGAAAGCGUGGGUAGCAAACAGGAUUAGAUACCCCUGUAGUC
This 465-nucleotide ribosomal RNA is filed under the name Vreelandella stevensii. RNAcentral describes it as "partial 16S ribosomal RNA". It matches the Rfam family "Bacterial small subunit ribosomal RNA", at positions 338 to 795 of the family's 1533-position model. Lineage: Bacteria; Pseudomonadati; Pseudomonadota; Gammaproteobacteria; Oceanospirillales; Halomonadaceae. The record is from RNAcentral.